UGGGGAAUUUUGGACAAUGGGCGAAAGCCUGAUCCAGCAAUGCCGCGUGUGUGAAGAAGGCCUUCGGGUUGUAAAGCACUUUUGUCCGGAAAGAAAUCCUUGGCUCUAAUACAGUCGGGGGAUGACGGUACCGGAAGAAUAAGCACCGGCUAACUACGUGCCAGCAGCCGCGGUAAUACGUAGGGUGCAAGCGUUAAUCGGAAUUACUGGGCGUAAAGCGUGCGCAGGCGGUUUGCUAAGACCGAUGUGAAAUCCCCGGGCUCAACCUGGGAACUGCAUUGGUGACUGGCAGGCUAGAGUAUGGCAGAGGGGGGUAGAAUUCCACGUGUAGCAGUGAAAUGCGUAGAGAUGUGGAGGAAUACCGAUGGCGAAGGCNGCCCAGGCCCAUGGCAUCUGACGCUCAUGCACGAAAGCGUGGGGAGCAAACNGGAUUAAUACCC
This 440-nucleotide ribosomal RNA is filed under the name uncultured bacterium. RNAcentral describes it as "partial 16S ribosomal RNA". It matches the Rfam family "Bacterial small subunit ribosomal RNA", at positions 355 to 787 of the family's 1533-position model. The record is from RNAcentral.